RNAcentral lists this ribosomal RNA (410 nucleotides) under uncultured soil bacterium. RNAcentral's name for it is "bacterial SSU rRNA". It matches the Rfam family "Bacterial small subunit ribosomal RNA", at positions 509 to 916 of the family's 1533-position model. The record is from RNAcentral.
CAGCAGCCGCGGUAAUACGUAGGGUGCGAGCGCUGUCCGGAAUUACUGGGCGUAAAGAGCUCGUAGGUGGUUUGUCGCGUUGUUCGUGAAAACUCACAACUCAAUUGUGGGCGUGCGGGCGAUACGGGCAGACUGGAGUACUGCAGGGGAGACUGGAAUUCCUGGUGUAGCGGUGGAAUGCGCAGAUAUCAGGAGGAACACCGGUGGCGAAGGCGGGUCUCUGGGCAGUAACUGACGCUGAGGAGCGAAAGCGUGGGGAGCGAACAGGAUUAGAUACCCUGGUAGUCCACGCCGUAAACGGUGGGUACUAGGUGUGGGUUUCCUUCCUUGGGAUCCGUGCCGUAGCUAACGCAUUAAGUACCCCGCCUGGGGAGUACGGCCGCAAGGCUAAAACUCAAAGGAAUUGACGG